RNAcentral lists this RNase P RNA (145 nucleotides) under Alphaproteobacteria bacterium. RNAcentral's name for it is "partial RNase P RNA component class A". It matches the Rfam family "Bacterial RNase P class A", at positions 1 to 134 of the family's 367-position model. From Rfam's summary of the family: Ribonuclease P (RNase P) is a ubiquitous endoribonuclease, found in archaea, bacteria and eukarya as well as chloroplasts and mitochondria. Its best characterised activity is the generation of mature 5'-ends of tRNAs by cleaving the 5'-leader elements of precursor-tRNAs. Cellular RNase Ps are ribonucleoproteins. The record is from RNAcentral. Lineage: Bacteria; Pseudomonadati; Pseudomonadota; Alphaproteobacteria.
GCAGAUGGCUGGAUGGCCGCCGCCAAAGGAUAGGGGAACCUGUUCUUUGGGGGAGGAAAGUCCGGGCUCCACGGAAACACGGUGCCGGUUAAUGGCCGGCGAGGGCGACCUCAGGGAAAGUGCCACAGAAAGCAAACCGCCAUAU